GGCAAGUUGACCUUGGCUCUG
This 21-nucleotide non-coding RNA is filed under the name Arabidopsis thaliana (thale cress). Lineage: Eukaryota; Viridiplantae; Streptophyta; Magnoliopsida; Brassicales; Brassicaceae. The record is from RNAcentral.